UAACACGUGGAUAACCUACCUAUAAGACUGAGAUAACUUCGGGAAACCGGAGCUAAUACCGGAUAAUAUUUUGAACCGCAUGGUUCAAAAGUGAAAGACGGUCUUGCUGUCACUUAUAGAUGGAUCCGCGCUGCAUUAGCUAGUUGGUAAGGUAACGGCUUACCAAGGCAACGAUGCAUAGCCGACCUGAGAGGGUGAUCGGCCACACUGGAACUGAGACACGGUCCAG
This 229-nucleotide ribosomal RNA is filed under the name uncultured Staphylococcus sp. Its description in RNAcentral is "partial 16S ribosomal RNA". It matches the Rfam family "Bacterial small subunit ribosomal RNA", at positions 111 to 334 of the family's 1533-position model. The record is from RNAcentral. Lineage: Bacteria; Bacillati; Bacillota; Bacilli; Caryophanales; Staphylococcaceae.